RNAcentral lists this long non-coding RNA (1058 nucleotides) under Vigna radiata. RNAcentral describes it as "long non-coding RNA (VRAD_LNC012952)". Lineage: Eukaryota; Viridiplantae; Streptophyta; Magnoliopsida; Fabales; Fabaceae. The record is from RNAcentral.
UGAAUUUAAAUGAAAAUUCUUAUUAUACCCUAUAUCUAGGAGAUACUUUUGUUCCAUAUGUCAUAUUUUAUUUUAAAUCGUGAGUGCAAAUUAAAAGAUUAUUUAAGUUUUCAUAUUGAAGUUGAGAAUGGUAUUUAAUAUACUUGUGAAAAAAAUAUUUUUUAUAGCAACUUUUAUAUUGGUUUAAAUCUAUUCGAAAUAAAAAGUUGUAUAAUGGCAUUGUAAUUAUUAAAAAUAUUUUUUAUACUAAUUAAUCACAAAAUUGGUAUAAGGUGUGGCACAGUGAUAAAAUUGUAAUAAAUUAAAAACUUUUUUAUAUCGGUUGUAUUCAAAACUUAUAUAGAAAUUUAUUUUUCUAUACCAGUUAACUUAUAACAGGUAUAGAAAAUGGCACAGUGACAAAAAGUGUAAUAUUGGAGAACACUUUCUAUAUAAGUUAGUCACUAUAGCCAGUAUAGAAUGUUUGAUAUCCUUUCCCACCUUCCUUUCUCACUUCACUUCUUCUCUAUAGUUCUUCUCAUUUGUUUCUUCUCAUUAUGCCCUAUUGCCUCUGCACUACCUUUUGCUUUUUGCUUGCCUCACUCACUCUAUGUCAUUCGUCUUUGCUUCUCGGUUGUCUUUGUCGUCAUUAGUAAUAGUUUCUGUGAUGGGUGAAACUUUCGACGUGGUGGGUCAAGUUGAAAUUUGUCUGUGGUGCAUGAAGCUCUGGUUGUGGUUGCUUCUCAAGUGCGUCGUUAGUGUGGUGGGUUUUAUGCUAUUGUUGAAGUUGUAGUGUGUGGUAAGUUAGUUGGUCACGUUCUUACCGGUUUGUUCAAGCUGCGAUGGUGUGGUAGGUCACUGAUGUUGAUCGUCAUGCUCAUGGUGUUUUGUUGAGGAUGAUGUGUUUUUAGGUUUUUAUUAUUACAUUACAUUUGUUGUGAGAAAAAUUCAAUAUUGUGAGAUUCUCCAUUUUUUGGAGCUUUCUAUGUCUGUGUUAUUGCAUUCACUUGGCAUGAUUACCCUUUCGUGUUAGAACUGAUGAGAAAAUAGUGAGGUAUAGAUUUCAAUGGGUGUCUUAU